GCCUGGGUGGCUCAGUCGGUUGAGCGUCUGACUUCGGCUCAGGUCACGAUCUCAUGGUUCGUGAGUUCGAGCCCCGCGUCGGGCU
Felis catus (domestic cat) is the source of this 85-nucleotide transfer RNA. It matches the Rfam family "tRNA". From Rfam's summary of the family: Transfer RNA (tRNA) molecules are approximately 80 nucleotides in length. Their secondary structure includes four short double-helical elements and three loops (D, anti-codon, and T loops). The record is from Rfam. NCBI's taxonomy places the organism in Eukaryota, Metazoa, Chordata, Mammalia, Carnivora, Felidae.